This 465-nucleotide ribosomal RNA is filed under the name Vreelandella stevensii. RNAcentral describes it as "partial 16S ribosomal RNA". It matches the Rfam family "Bacterial small subunit ribosomal RNA", at positions 338 to 795 of the family's 1533-position model. The record is from RNAcentral. Lineage: Bacteria; Pseudomonadati; Pseudomonadota; Gammaproteobacteria; Oceanospirillales; Halomonadaceae.
CCUACGGGAGGCAGCAGUGGGGAAUAUUGGACAAUGGGCGAAAGCCUGAUCCAGCCAUGCCGCGUGUGUGAAGAAGGCCUUCGGGUUGUAAAGCACUUUCAGUGGGGAAGAAAGCCUUGGGGCUAAUACCCUCGAGGAAGGACAUCACCCACAGAAGAAGCACCGGCUAACUCCGUACCAGCAGCCGCGGUAAUACGGAGGGUGCGAGCGUUAAUCGGAAUUACUGGGCGUAAAGCGCGCGUAGGCGGUCUGAUAAGCCGGUUGUGAAAGCCCCGGGCUCAACCUGGGAACGGCAUCCGGAACUGUCAGGCUAGAGUGCAGGAGAGGAAGGUAGAAUUCCCGGUGUAGCGGUGAAAUGCGUAGAGAUCGGGAGGAAUACCAGUGGCGAAGGCGGCCUUCUGGACUGACACUGACGCUGAGGUGCGAAAGCGUGGGUAGCAAACAGGAUUAGAUACCCGGGUAGUC